RNAcentral lists this ribosomal RNA (433 nucleotides) under uncultured bacterium. RNAcentral's name for it is "partial 16S ribosomal RNA". It matches the Rfam family "Bacterial small subunit ribosomal RNA", at positions 29 to 507 of the family's 1533-position model. The record is from RNAcentral.
AGCGAACGCUGGCGGCAGGCCUAACACAUGCAAGUCGAACGAACUCUUCGGAGUUAGUGGCGGACGGGUGAGUAACACGUGGGAACGUGCAUUUUGGUUCGGAAUAACUCAGGGAAACUUGUGCUAAUACCGAAUGUGCCCUUCGGGGGAAAGAUUUAUCGCCAUUAGAGCGGCCCGCGUCUGAUUAGCUAGUUGGUGAGGUAACGGCUCACCAAGGCGACGAUCAGUAGCUGGUCUGAGAGGAUGACCAGCCACACUGGGACUGAGACACGGCCCAGACUCCUACGGGAGGCAGCAGUGGGGAAUCUUGCGCAAUGGGCGAAAGCCUGACGCAGCCAUGCCGGGUGAAUGAUGAAGGUCUUAGGAUUGUAAAAUUCUUUCACCGGGGACGAUAAUGACGGUACCCGGAGAAGAAGCCCCGGCUAACUUCGUG